This 395-nucleotide ribosomal RNA is filed under the name uncultured bacterium. RNAcentral describes it as "partial 16S ribosomal RNA". It matches the Rfam family "Bacterial small subunit ribosomal RNA", at positions 338 to 730 of the family's 1533-position model. The record is from RNAcentral.
CCUACGGGUGGCAGCAGUGAGGAAUAUUGGUCAAUGGACGCAAGUCUGAACCAGCCAUGCCGCGUGCAGGAAGACGGCUCUAUGAGUUGUAAACUGCUUUUGUACGAGGGUAAACUCAGAUACGCGUAUCUUUCUGUAUGUACCCUACCAAUAAGGAUCGGCUAACUCCGUGCCAGCAGCCGCGGUAAUACGGAGGAUUCAAGCGUUAUCCGGAUUUAUUGGGUUUAAAGGGUCCGUAGGCGGUCGGGUAAGUUAGAGGUGAAAUCCCGGGGCUCAACUUCGGAAUUGCCUCUGAUACUGUUAGGCUAGAGAGUAGUUGCGGUAGGCGGAAUGUGUGGUGUAGCGGUGAAAUGCUUAGAGAUCAUGCAGAACACCGAUUGCGAAGGCAGCUUACC